This is a long non-coding RNA of Labrus mixtus (cuckoo wrasse), 1104 nucleotides long. RefSeq lists it as uncharacterized. The record is from RefSeq and is a predicted model, not a curated record. The transcript has 2 exons. NCBI's taxonomy places the organism in Eukaryota, Metazoa, Chordata, Actinopteri, Labriformes, Labridae.
CGUGUCUCUGAUCCAUGUUAAAGAUGUGAGAACGGGUUCACUGAUCAUCUGUAGUCGAUAUGAAACGAUGGUUAACCAACAUGAUGUGUUAGGGAGCUGUUGCCAUGGUAACAUGUUCAACCUGUGCGUCUUCAGAUGCAGGUCGGCGCGGUUCGGCCCAGACCUCCUGGACUCUGCUGCCCCCGCUGUCUCGGAGGAGAACCGGGUCACAUCAACCACAUCAUGGGCCUCUGAGGAGGAGAUCAGGAAGAGGAGGAGCUAAUGAGGAGGAAGAGGAGGGGCUAAUUGAUGAGGAGCCCUCGAUCCCUUCCUGGACCUCUCCUAAAAUAAAGUGUGGAAUCCGUCCAGACUGACAGCAGCGUCCCAUGAGCACAUUUCUGCUUCAGGUGUUCACUCCUACUCGAUGACAUCAUCAUGACAUCACAAACACUGAAAGGACCAAUCAGGUGCUUUGUUGUCAGAUCACUGGUCACUUUAACUGAGCAUGAUCAUGUGUACAUUCCCCCGAGAGUUCGAUCACGUCCAAAGAUUUUCAUCUGGAGGUCCAAACCGUUCUUCUUCUUCUUCUUCUUCAGCACUUUCACACAUUUAAUCGUUAUCAUGUGAUCGAAACGCCGACUUUGCGUAACUUUAAUUUCCUGUAGCAUAUCUGUCUCGAUGGUGUGUUUAAGGACACUCCGACAUCAGAGUUUCACACUUAGAAUGAGCACACGCCGUCUCUUCGAUCUGAUGGCUGAAGUUAACCUCCCAUGAAGCUGAUUUUAACGAAGUCUCAAGAGAAAAUAUAAAUAAUCAAACCGCCGCUGCAUGAUGUGUUCACUGUCGCCUGCUCUCAGUACUCAGAUGUCCAGGUGAACUUUAACGCACCAUCGUGUUACGUUUCAGGAAUCAGCAGGAAUGUGUUAAAAAUCUGAAAACAGUGUGAAACUGUUUAAACAGUGAGACAUGAGUGUAAGCCCCGCCCCCAAUGUGACAUCUGAUUGGUCGACACGUUGAAAGGUGAGGACACCUGAAGCUGUGUUUAUGAAAUGUCCAGCGUUCAGUGAACUCAUCAGUUUAUUAGAUGUGUGUACUUUCAUAUCAGCUGAGAUGAUUAAUCUAUAA